This 435-nucleotide ribosomal RNA is filed under the name uncultured bacterium. RNAcentral's name for it is "partial 16S ribosomal RNA". It matches the Rfam family "Bacterial small subunit ribosomal RNA", at positions 28 to 507 of the family's 1533-position model. The record is from RNAcentral.
GAUGAACGCUGGCGGUAUGCUUAACACAUGCAAGUCGAACGGACUCUUCGGAGUUAGUGGCGGACGGGUGAGUAACGCGUGAGAAUCUGGCUUUGGGUUCGGGACAACCACUGGAAACGGUGGCUAAUACCGGAUGUGCCGAGAGGUAAAAGAGAAAUUGCCUGAAGAUGAGCUCGCGUCUGAUUAGCUAGUUGGUGAGGUAAAGGCUCACCAAGGCAGCGAUCAGUAGCUGGUCUGAGAGGAUGACCGGCCACACUGGGACUGAGACACGGCCCAGACUCAUCGGGGGGGCAGCGGUGGGGAAUUUCCGGGAAAGGGCGAGAGACUGACGAAGCAAUACGGCGUGAGAGAAGAAGGUUCUUGGGUUGAAAACCUCUUUUCUUAGGGAAGAACAAAAUGACGGUACCUAAGGAAAAAGCAACGGCUAACUACGUG